This 413-nucleotide long non-coding RNA is filed under the name Ovis aries (sheep). RNAcentral's name for it is "lncRNA (ENSOARG00000025682.1)". Lineage: Eukaryota; Metazoa; Chordata; Mammalia; Artiodactyla; Bovidae. The record is from RNAcentral.
AUGGCUUAUCCUGGUAACUGUAGAUUGGUGCAGAGCUGUCUUGAGGCACCGUGGGGAAGACACCAUCCCAGAAGUCCUCCUCGCAGCCGGCCAGGCUUCUUUACCUGCCAGGGUCAUUUCAGCAGCUGGGCUGAGCCUGGAACUUACAUCAGGUGUGGCUUAAGCUCAAAUCUGGUUUGGGACAGAAACUCCAGCGUGGGCCCGCUUCCCUUAUUUAUGUUUUCCAAAAGGACGAAAGACAGGGAAGCGACGUCCUAGCUCGCGUAUUUAAACCCGGCAUAAGGCCAGCAGAGGUCCGCGUUUCUCAACUCUUUCCAAGAGCACCUCGCGUCCCGAAUCGGCGCCUUCAACUCUGAGAAGUCGGGAGCCCCACAGGAAACUUGCAUUACUGCAGCCGCUGCCACACACCGGGG